Molecule: long non-coding RNA, 333 nt
Organism: Cynara cardunculus var. scolymus (artichoke)
Lineage: Eukaryota; Viridiplantae; Streptophyta; Magnoliopsida; Asterales; Asteraceae
Exons: 2
Source: RefSeq, a predicted model, not a curated record
CUGUUUUAUUGCCUUCUCCAUCUUCCUUUUAGCUUCAAGAUCUUAGGAUUUCUCUUAAAUCCUACAAUGUUCCUUAGCAGUAGGGCUCUAAAGGGUCGAGAGGAGCGUUGGUUCGUGAAAGACUCUUUUGUAUUUAUAGGCUUGUUACUUUCGAGCGUUGCGUUUUGAUGUUACGACUUUUUGRAGAUYGAUAGAAAAUUCCUGUCUUUAAUCUAGAAAAAAAAAAUCUAGAUUAGUAGGUUAUUAUUUAUCUUCUCUGUAGCGGAAUUGUAAACGUUAUACUAUUACUUUUGUUGGAUAAAUUUUAUAAAAGAUCCUGGCUCUCGUUAAGUA